Molecule: non-coding RNA, 317 nt
Organism: Sus scrofa (pig)
Lineage: Eukaryota; Metazoa; Chordata; Mammalia; Artiodactyla; Suidae
Source: RefSeq, a predicted model, not a curated record
CAAAAUAAUACCAUUUGCAGCAACAUGGAUGAAACUAGAGAUUCUCAUACUAAGUGAAGAGGACAUCUGGAAAAAUCCUGAAGUACUUGGAAAUUGUACAACAUACUUUAAAUCUAUGGGUCAAAAAAGAAGUCUCAAGGAAAUGAGAAGAUAUUUUAAGUGGAGUAAAAUGAAAAUCAGUGUACCAAAAUUUAUGAGAUGCAGCAAAAGUUGUGCUUACAGGGAAUUUUGUAGCAUCACCUGCUUGUAUUAGACAAUAAGAAAGGACUCAACAAUGUAAACUUUCACCUUAAUAAAUUUUUAAAGAAAGAACAAAA